GACGGGGCCGCACAAGCGGUGGAGCAUGUGGUUAAUUCGAUGCAACGCGAACGAACCUUACCUGGGCUUGACAUCCCGAGAAUCCCCUGGAAACAGGGAGUGCCUUUCGGGGAACUCGGAGACAGGUGCUGCAUGGCUGUCGUCAGCUCGUGUCGUGAGAUGUUGGGUUAAGUCCCGCAACGAGCGCAACCCUUGUCUUUAAUUGCCAGCAUUCAGUUGGGCACUUUAAAGAGACUGCCGGUGUUAAGCCGGAGGAAGGUGGGAUGACGUCAAGUCCUCAUGGCCUUUAUGCCCAGGGCUACACACGUGCUACAAUGGGUGGUACAAAGAGAUGCCAACUCGCGAGAGCGCGCCAAUCUCAGAAAGCCAUCCUCAGUUCGGAUUGGAGUCUGCAACUCGACUCCAUGAAGUUGGAAUCGCUAGUAAUCGCGGAUCAGCACGCCGCGGUGAAUACGUUCCCGGGCCUU
This 467-nucleotide ribosomal RNA is filed under the name uncultured Syntrophus sp. RNAcentral describes it as "bacterial SSU rRNA". It matches the Rfam family "Bacterial small subunit ribosomal RNA", at positions 917 to 1381 of the family's 1533-position model. The record is from RNAcentral. Lineage: Bacteria; Pseudomonadati; Thermodesulfobacteriota; Syntrophia; Syntrophales; Syntrophaceae.